AGUUGGUGGAGUGAUUUGUCUGGUUAAUUCCGAUAACGAACGAGACUCUGUCCUGCUAAAUAGUUGGGUCGUCCUUCGUGCGAUCCAAGUUCUUCUUAGAGGGACUGGCUGCGUCUAGCAGCACGAGAUUGAGCAAUAACAGG
Molecule: ribosomal RNA, 143 nt
Filed under: Metazoa environmental sample
Lineage: Eukaryota; Metazoa
Description: partial small subunit ribosomal RNA
Rfam family: Eukaryotic small subunit ribosomal RNA
Source: RNAcentral